Molecule: ribosomal RNA, 505 nt
Filed under: uncultured bacterium
Lineage: Bacteria
Description: bacterial SSU rRNA
Rfam family: Bacterial small subunit ribosomal RNA
Source: RNAcentral
AAUCAACGCUGGCGGCGUGCCUCAGACAUGCAAGUCGAACGCGAAAGUUCCCUUCGGGGAGCAAGUAGAGUGGCGCACGGGUGAGUAACACGUAGGUAAUCUACCUUUGGAUGGGGAAUAACAACCGGAAACGGUUGCUAAUACCGCAUAAUGCAGCGGCACCUAAUGGUGACAGUUGUUAAAGCGGGGGAUCGAAAGACCUCGCGUCUGAAGAGGAGCCUGCGGCGGAUUAGCUAGUUGGUAAGGUAACGGCUUACCAAGGCGAUGAUCCGUAGCCGGCCUGAGAGGGCGGUCGGCCACACUGACACUGACAUACGGGUCAGACUCCUACGGGAGGCAGCAGUCGGGAAUUUUGGGCAAUGGGCGAAAGCCUGACCCAGCAACGCCGCGUGAAGGAUGAAAAUCCCUCGGGAAUGUAAACUUCGCAAGAACGGGAAGAAUAAGUAAGGGUUAAUAUCCUUACGAUGACGGUACUGUUUGUAAGCUCGGCUAACUCCGUGCCAGC